Molecule: ribosomal RNA, 494 nt
Filed under: uncultured bacterium
Lineage: Bacteria
Description: partial 16S ribosomal RNA
Rfam family: Bacterial small subunit ribosomal RNA
Source: RNAcentral
GACGAACGCUGGCGGCGUGCUUAACACAUGCAAGUCGAACGGAAAGGCCUGCUUUCCCUUGUGGAUUGCGGGUACUCGAGUGGCGAACGGGUGAGUAACACGUGAGUGAUCUGCCCCCAACUUGGGUAUAAGCCUGGGAUACUGGGUCUAAUUCCCGAUAGGACUGCAGGGUGGUGUCUGUGGUGGAAAACGAUUUUCUAGUGGUUGGGGAUGAGCUCGCGGCCUAUCAGCUUGUUGGUGGGGUAAUGGCCUACCAAGGCGGCGACGGGUAGCCGGCCUGAGAGGGUGGACGGCCACAGUGGGACGGAGAUACGGCCCAGACUCCUACGGGAGGCAGCAGUGGGGAAGAUUGCGCGAUGGGCGGAAGCCUGAUGCAGCGACGCCGCGUGGGGGAUGACGGGCUUCGGGUGGUAAACUCCUUUCGACCGCGAGGAAGCCACCUGGUUGGAAGGUUGGUGACGGUAGUGGUAGAAGAAGCACCGGCUAACUACGUG